Molecule: non-coding RNA, 139 nt
Filed under: Mycobacterium triplex
Lineage: Bacteria; Bacillati; Actinomycetota; Actinomycetes; Mycobacteriales; Mycobacteriaceae
Source: RNAcentral
GCAAUAUCGGCUACCGACAGGGCGCCGACGGGCCCGCAUGACGAGGAAACCGGUGCGAAUCCGGUGCGGUCCCGCCACUGUGAUCGGGCAUGUCUUCACAGCCCGAGAGCCAGAUACUCACCGCCGGCGCUUCCUCGCU